UACGGAGGGUGCAAGCGUUAUCCGGAUUCACUGGGUUUAAAGGGUGCGUAGGUGGGCUGGUAAGUCAGUGGUGAAAUCUCCAGGCUUAACUUGGAAACUGCCAUUGAUACUAUCAGUCUCGAAUACCGUGGAGGUCAGCGGAAUAUGUCAUGUAGCGGUGAAAUGCUUAGAUAUGACAUAGAACACCAAUUGCGAAGGCAGCUGGCUACACGAAUAUUGACACUGAUGCACGAAAGCGUGGGGAUCAAACAGG
Molecule: ribosomal RNA, 253 nt
Filed under: uncultured bacterium
Lineage: Bacteria
Description: partial 16S ribosomal RNA
Rfam family: Bacterial small subunit ribosomal RNA
Source: RNAcentral